Diprion similis is the source of this 255-nucleotide long non-coding RNA. RefSeq lists it as uncharacterized. Lineage: Eukaryota; Metazoa; Arthropoda; Insecta; Hymenoptera; Diprionidae. The transcript is spliced from 3 exons. The record is from RefSeq and is a predicted model, not a curated record.
UGAUUCGUUCGUAUAACGAUUAUUGUAAACCGUUCGAAAUCCCCGGACCCGUGAACGGCGGCACCGUUCGUCCGUAAUUCUUCUCUACCUGUAUAUCAGACGAUUACAGCGUUUCGUUAUAAAACAUAUAUCGAGUAAUUCAUAUCGUCAAAUGCCCACAAACAGCAGCGAAGAACACCACUGCACCGAUGAAAACGUUUCACUGUUCACUCCCCGUUGAAACGGGUAUUACAACUCGGUUCGCGUACGGAUUGA